Molecule: transfer RNA, 70 nt
Filed under: Trichonephila inaurata madagascariensis
Lineage: Eukaryota; Metazoa; Arthropoda; Arachnida; Araneae; Nephilidae
Rfam family: tRNA
About the family: Transfer RNA (tRNA) molecules are approximately 80 nucleotides in length. Their secondary structure includes four short double-helical elements and three loops (D, anti-codon, and T loops).
Source: Rfam by way of RNAcentral
GGUUCCGUAGUGUAGUGGUUAUCACGUUCGCUUCACACGGAAAGGUCCCGGUCGAUCCCGGGCGGAACCA